RNAcentral lists this ribosomal RNA (958 nucleotides) under bacterium. Its description in RNAcentral is "bacterial SSU rRNA". It matches the Rfam family "Bacterial small subunit ribosomal RNA", at positions 55 to 1003 of the family's 1533-position model. The record is from RNAcentral.
AUGCAAGUCGAGCGUAUCAUGGUAUCUUGGUACCUUAUUCAUCGGCGGACGGGUGAGAAAAGCCUAUGAGUCUGCCCUAUAUUGGGGGACAAUGUUUCCAAGGGAACGCUAAUACCGCAUACAUCCUACGGGAGAAAGCAGGGGACCUUCGGGCCUUGCGCUUUCGCAUGAACCUAGGUCGGAUUACCUAGUUCGUGGGGUAAAGGGUCACCAAGGGGAUCACCCCUAACUGGACUGAUAGGAUGAUCAGUCACACUGGAACUGACACACGGUCCAAACUCCUACGGGAAGCAGCAGUGGGGAAUAUUGGACAAUGGGCGAAAGCCUGAUCCAGCCAUGCCGCGUGUGAGAACAAGGUCUUCAGAAUGGACUUCACUUUAAACUGGUAGGAAGGGCAGGAAGUUAAUACCUUGCUGUUUUGACUUUAACGGCGAAAGAACCACCCGCUAACUUCGUGCCUACAUCCGCGGUAAUACGAACGGUGCUAGCGAUGAUCUAAAUUACUGGUCGAAAAGCGCGCGGAGGUGGUUCCGCAAGUUGGAUGUGAAAUCCCAGGGCUCAGCCUGGGAACUGCAUCUGAAACUACUGUGCUAAAUUAUGAUAUAGGGUGGUGGAAAUUCCUGUGUAGCGGUGAAAUGCGUAGAUAUAGGAAGGAACACCUGUGGCACAGGCGAUCACCUGGACUAUUUCUGACACUGAAGUGCAAAAGCAUGGGUGAGCAAACAGGAUUAUAUACCCUGGUAGUCCACUCCGUAAACGAUGCCAUAUACGAUGUUGGGGUUCCCUGAGGACUUAUUAACGCCCCUAACGCUAUAAGGUGACCGCCUGGGAAUUCCCGCCGGCUAAGUUUAAACCUCAAUUGAAAUUGACGAGCGCCUCCACAAGCGGCGGACCAUGUGGUUAACUUCGAGCCACUUUCAAAACCUUUCCUGGCCUUGAAAUGCGGACUACUUUCUGA